GACAGAGGGUGCAAACGUUGUUCGGAAUUACUGGGCGUAAAGCGUGUGUAGGCGGUCUUAUAAGUCGGAUGUGAAAGCCCCGGGCUCAACCCGGGAAGUGCACUCGAUACUGUAGGACUUGAGUACUGGAGAGGUUGGUGGAAUUCUCGGUGUAGAGGUGAAAUUCGUAGAUAUCGAGAGGAACACCGGUGGCGAAGGCGGCCAACUGGACAGAUACUGACGCUGAGACACGAAAGCGUGGGGAGCAAACAGG
Molecule: ribosomal RNA, 253 nt
Filed under: uncultured bacterium
Lineage: Bacteria
Description: partial 16S ribosomal RNA
Rfam family: Bacterial small subunit ribosomal RNA
Source: RNAcentral